This 497-nucleotide ribosomal RNA is filed under the name uncultured bacterium. RNAcentral describes it as "partial 16S ribosomal RNA". It matches the Rfam family "Bacterial small subunit ribosomal RNA", at positions 28 to 507 of the family's 1533-position model. The record is from RNAcentral.
GAUGAACGCUGGCGGCGUGCCUAAUACAUGCGAGUCGAGCGAACAGACGAGGAGCUUGCUCCUCUGACGUUAGCGGCGGACGGGUGAGUAACACGUGGAUAACCUACCUAUAAGACUGGGAUAACUUCGGGAAACCGGAGCUAAUACCGGAUAAUAUAUUGAACCGCAUGGUUCAAUAGUGAAAGACGGUUUUGCUGUCACUUAUAGAUGGAUCCGCGCCGCAUUAGCUAGUUGGUAAGGUAACGGCUUACCAAGGCGACGAUGCGUAGCCGACCUGAGGGGGUGAUCGGCCACACUGGAACUGAGACGCGGUCCAGACUCCUACGGGAGGCAGCAGUAGGGAAUCUUCCGCAAUGGGCGGAAGCCUGACGGAGCAACGCCGCGUGAGUGAUGAAGGUCUUCGGAUCGUAAAACUCUGUUAUUAGGGAAGAACAAAUGUGUAAGUAACUAUGCACGUCUUGACGGUACCUAAUCAGAAAGCCACGGCUAACUACGUG